GUUUGAGUUCUAGGAAUGUUUCUUGCACUAAUCGUCACCAGAUUUCUUGUGUAAGCUCAAAAUUGAGCUAGAGAUAAGAAACUAAGGAUGCAUACGCCGUCGUGAUUGCAUCCUUUAUACUUUAAGGAUGCAUACAUCGUCGUUUGAAGUUUUAAAACCAUACAAAGCUUCAUGAAUAAUAUUUUUAUGGGAGUUCAAAAUAAAUAAAAUUCAUAAUCAUUAAUGUAAAAGUUUGAAAAAUGUGAAAGCAUAUAUGCUUGUGAUUG
RNAcentral lists this long non-coding RNA (266 nucleotides) under Malus domestica (apple). Its description in RNAcentral is "long non-coding RNA (MDOM_LNC002741)". Lineage: Eukaryota; Viridiplantae; Streptophyta; Magnoliopsida; Rosales; Rosaceae. The record is from RNAcentral.